RNAcentral lists this ribosomal RNA (253 nucleotides) under uncultured bacterium. RNAcentral's name for it is "partial 16S ribosomal RNA". It matches the Rfam family "Bacterial small subunit ribosomal RNA", at positions 524 to 776 of the family's 1533-position model. The record is from RNAcentral.
UACGUAGGGGGCAAGCGUUGUCCGGAAUCAUUGGGCGUAAAGAGCGUGUAGGCGGUCCGGUCAGUCGGUUGUGAAAGUCAAGGGCUCAACCCUUGAAUGCCGGCCGAUACUGCCGGGCUAGAGUCCGGAAGAGGUGAGUGGAAUUCCUGGUGUAGCGGUGAAAUGCGCAGAUAUCAGGAGGAACACCGAUGGCGAAGGCAGCUCACUGGGACGGUACUGACGCUGAGACGCGAAAGCGUGGGGAGCAAACCGG